This 393-nucleotide ribosomal RNA is filed under the name Actinomycetes bacterium. RNAcentral's name for it is "Actinobacteria bacterium partial 23S ribosomal RNA". It matches the Rfam family "Bacterial large subunit ribosomal RNA", at positions 2445 to 2925 of the family's 2925-position model. The record is from RNAcentral. Lineage: Bacteria; Bacillati; Actinomycetota; Actinomycetes.
UCGCUCAACGGAUAAAAGGUACUCCGGGGAUAACAGGCUUAUCUCCCCCAAGAGUCCAUAAAGCGGUACGCGAGCUGGGUUUAGAACGUCGUGAGACAGUUCGGUCCCUAUCCUCUGUGGGCGCAGGAGAAUUGCGGGAAUUUGUCCCUAGUACGAGAGGACCGGGAUGAGUGAACCUCUGGUGUGUCAGUUGUUCCGCCAGGAGCAUUGCUGAUUAGCCAAGUUUGUAAGGGAUAAGUGCUGAAGGCAUAUAAGCACGAAGCCCCUCCCAAGACUAGUUCUCCCAUCCAUUUGGAGUAAGACCCCAUGUAGAUUACAUGGUUGAUAGGUCAGAAGUGUAAGCGCAGCAAUGUGUUUAGCUGACUGAUACUAAUAGGUCGAGGACUUAUUUUU